UAGGGAAUCUUCCGCAAUGGGCGAAAGCCUGACGGGGCAACGCCGCGUGAGUGAUGAAGGUCUUCGGAUCGUAAAACUCUGUUAUUAGGGAAGAACAAAUGUGUAAGUAACUAUGCACGUCUUGACGGUACCUAAUCAGAAAGCCACGGCUAACUACGUGCCAGCAGCCGCGGUAAUACGUAGGUGGCAAGCGUUAUCCGGAAUUAUUGGGCGUAAAGCGCGCGUAGGCGGUUUUUUAAGUCUGAUGUGAAAGCCCACGGCUCAACCGUGGAGGGUCAUUGGAAACUGGAAAACUUGAGUGCAGAAGAGGAAAGUGGAAUUCCAUGUGUAGCGGUGAAAUGCGCAGAGAUAUGGAGGAACACCAGUGGCGAAGGCGACUUUCUGGUCUGUAACUAACGCUGAUGUGCGAAAGCGUGGGGAUCAAACAGG
Molecule: ribosomal RNA, 429 nt
Filed under: Actinomycetes bacterium
Lineage: Bacteria; Bacillati; Actinomycetota; Actinomycetes
Description: Actinobacteria bacterium partial 16S ribosomal RNA
Rfam family: Bacterial small subunit ribosomal RNA
Source: RNAcentral